GGGUUGUGAGGUUAAGCGACUAAGCGUACACGGUGGAUGCCCUGGCAGUCAGAGGCGAUGAAGGACGUGCUAAUCUGCGAUAAGCGUCGGUAAGGUGAUAUGAACCGUUAUAACCGGCGAUUUCCGAAUGGGGAAACCCAGUGUGUUUCGACACACUAUCAUUAACUGAAUCCAUAGGUUAAUGAGGCGAACCGGGGGAACUGAAACAUCUAAGUACCCCGAGGAAAAGAAAUCAACCGAGAUUCCCCCAGUAGCGGCGAGCGAACGGGGAGGAGCCCAGAGUCUGAAUCAGUGUGUGUGUUAGUGGAAGCGUCUGGAAAGGCGCGCGAUACAGGGUGACAGCCCCGUACACAAAAAUGCACAUACUGUGAGCUCGAUGAGUAGGGCGGGACACGUGGUAUCCUGUCUGAAUAUGGGGGGACCAUCCUCCAAGGCUAAAUACUCCUGACUGACCGAUAGUGAACCAGUACCGUGAGGGAAAGGCGAAAAGAACCCCGGCGAGGGGAGUGAAAAAGAACCUGAAACCGUGUACGUACAAGCAGUGGGAGCCUCUUUUAUGGGGUGACUGCGUACCUUUUGUAUAAUGGGUCAGCGACUUAUAUUCUGUAGCAAGGUUAACCGAAUAGGGGAGCCGAAGGGAAACCGAGUCUUAACUGGGCGUUAAGUUGCAGGGUAUAGACCCGAAACCCGGUGAUCUAGCCAUGGGCAGGUUGAAGGUUGGGUAACACUAACUGGAGGACCGAACCGACUAAUGUUGAAAAAUUAGCGGAUGACUUGUGGCUGGGGGUGAAAGGCCAAUCAAACCGGGAGAUAGCUGGUUCUCCCCGAAAGCUAUUUAGGUAGCGCCUCGUGAAUUCAUCUCCGGGGGUAGAGCACUGUUUCGGCAAGGGGGUCAUCCCGACUUACCAACCCGAUGCAAACUGCGAAUACCGGAGAAUGUUAUCACGGGAGACACACGGCGGGUGCUAACGUCCGUCGUGAAGAGGGAAACAACCCAGACCGCCAGCUAAGGUCCCAAAGUCAUGGUUAAGUGGGAAACGAUGUGGGAAGGCCCAGACAGCCAGGAUGUUGGCUUAGAAGCAGCCAUCAUUUAAAGAAAGCGUAAUAGCUCACUGGUCGAGUCGGCCUGCGCGGAAGAUGUAACGGGGCUAAACCAUGCACCGAAGCUGCGGCAGCGACGCUUAUGCGUUGUUGGGUAGGGGAGCGUUCUGUAAGCCUGCGAAGGUGUGCUGUGAGGCAUGCUGGAGGUAUCAGAAGUGCGAAUGCUGACAUAAGUAACGAUAAAGCGGGUGAAAAGCCCGCUCGCCGGAAGACCAAGGGUUCCUGUCCAACGUUAAUCGGGGCAGGGUG
Molecule: ribosomal RNA, 1350 nt
Filed under: Escherichia coli
Lineage: Bacteria; Pseudomonadati; Pseudomonadota; Gammaproteobacteria; Enterobacterales; Enterobacteriaceae
Description: partial 23S ribosomal RNA
Rfam family: Bacterial large subunit ribosomal RNA
Source: RNAcentral